GGGGUUGUGGCUCAGUGGUAGAACAUCCACUUGGUAUGCAGAAGGUCCUGGGUUCAAUUCCUGGCAUCUCCG
RNAcentral lists this transfer RNA (72 nucleotides) under Sphaerodactylus townsendi. RNAcentral's name for it is "tRNA-Thr". It matches the Rfam family "tRNA". Rfam says of the family: Transfer RNA (tRNA) molecules are approximately 80 nucleotides in length. Their secondary structure includes four short double-helical elements and three loops (D, anti-codon, and T loops). The record is from RNAcentral. Lineage: Eukaryota; Metazoa; Chordata; Lepidosauria; Squamata; Sphaerodactylidae.